AUACGGAGGAUGCGAGCGUUAUCCGGAUUUAUUGGGUUUAAAGGGAGCGUAGGUGGGAUAUUAAGUCAGCUGUGAAAGUUUGGGGCUCAACCUUAAAAUUGCAGUUGAUACUGGUUUCCUUGAGUACGGUACAGGUGGGCGGAAUUCGUGGUGUAGCGGUGAAAUGCUUAGAUAUCACGAAGAACUCCGAUCGCGAAGGCAGCUCACCGGGCCGGAACUGACACUGAUGCUCGAAAGUGCGGGUAUCAAACAGGAUUAGAUACCCUGGUAGUCCGCACAGUAAACGAUGAAUACUCGCUGGUUGCGAUACACGGUAAGCGGCCAAGCGAAAGCGUUAAGUAUUCCACCUGGGGAGUACGCCGGCAACGGUGAAACUCAAAUGAAUUGGCGGGG
RNAcentral lists this ribosomal RNA (393 nucleotides) under uncultured bacterium. Its description in RNAcentral is "partial 16S ribosomal RNA". It matches the Rfam family "Bacterial small subunit ribosomal RNA", at positions 523 to 918 of the family's 1533-position model. The record is from RNAcentral.